AUGGUGAAGGCAACACAGACAAAAAUUUUGUUUUUAUGUGAGACUAGACAGAGUUCAGAAAAAAUAAAAAGAUUACGUACUCGGUUAGGCCUUAGAGGUUUUUCUGGUGUCAGCAGUAAUGGGUUGAGUGGUGGCCUUGCUCUUUUCUGGUGUGAUAGUCUGCAUGUUGAAGUU
This 174-nucleotide ribosomal RNA is filed under the name Triticum aestivum (bread wheat). RNAcentral describes it as "partial small subunit ribosomal RNA". Lineage: Eukaryota; Viridiplantae; Streptophyta; Magnoliopsida; Poales; Poaceae. The record is from RNAcentral.